CAUCAAGAGUCGGCAGAGGGAUUGGCCCGAUGACGCCGCAGCAACCUGCUCACAGUAAAGGUGCUAAGUCCAACAGUCGGAAUGACUGGAAGAUG
RNAcentral lists this non-coding RNA (95 nucleotides) under Megasphaera coli. RNAcentral describes it as "SAM riboswitch (S box leader)". It matches the Rfam family "SAM riboswitch aptamer (S box leader)". From Rfam's summary of the family: The SAM riboswitch is found upstream of a number of genes which code for proteins involved in methionine or cysteine biosynthesis in Gram-positive bacteria. The SAM riboswitch acts at the level of transcription termination control. The predicted structure consists of a complex stem-loop region followed by a single stem loop terminator region. Lineage: Bacteria; Bacillati; Bacillota; Negativicutes; Veillonellales; Veillonellaceae. The record is from RNAcentral.